AUUGAACGCUGGCGGCAGGCCUAACACAUGCAAGUCGAACGGUAACAGGAAACAGCUUGCUGUUUCGCUGACGAGUGGCGGACGUGUGAGUAAUGUCUGGGAAACUGCCUGAUGGAGGGGGAUAACUACUGGAAACGGUAGCUAAUACCGCAUAACGUCGCAAGACCAUAGAGGGGGACCUUCGGGCCUCUUGCCAUCGGAUGUGCCCAGAUGGGAUUCGCUAGUAGGUGGGGUAACGGCUCACCUAGGCGACGAUCCCUAGCUGGUCUGAGAGGAUGACCAGCCACACUGGAACUGAGACAAGGUCCAGAAUCCUACGGGAGGCAGCAGUGGGGAAUAUUGCACAAUGGGCGCAAGCCUGAUGCAGCCAUGCCGCGUGUAUGAAGAAGGCCUUCGGGUUGUAAAGUACUUUCAGCGGGGAUGAAGGGAGUAAAGUUAAUACCUUUGAUCAUUGACGUUACCCUCAGAAGAAGCACCGGCUAACUCCGUG
This 490-nucleotide ribosomal RNA is filed under the name uncultured bacterium. Its description in RNAcentral is "partial 16S ribosomal RNA". It matches the Rfam family "Bacterial small subunit ribosomal RNA", at positions 30 to 507 of the family's 1533-position model. The record is from RNAcentral.